GGCUCCUCACAGCGAGGAUGGGGAUGAAAAGGGAAUCGGGUGAAAGUCCCGAACAGUCCCGCUGCUGUGAACUCCGUAGCAAACCCUGUCGAACAAUCCGCAACAUGUCACUGUCUGAGCACAGAUGGGAAGACGGACAGGGCUGGAGUAAGUCAGAAGACCUGCAAAG
RNAcentral lists this non-coding RNA (169 nucleotides) under bovine gut metagenome. The record is from RNAcentral.